CUUCGCCAUCCUCCAGCUACAGCCUCAGAAGUCUUACCUACUACAUGGGCUACUGGCUUGUCACUCGGAGUUCGAGAAGAUGAUCCUGAGGAGGAAAGAGGAAAGAAAAAGCAUCAGCAGAAGGCCAUGCUGCUCACUUCACUACCAACCCAGCCCUCUACCCCUGGUCAAGCCCACCCACCAUGGCCACCAAGCACCUCUUCACUCCGGGGACAGAGGCAGAGUGAAGAAUAAAUUUAAUCACUGUUAACAGUUUGCUGUGGUCCCUUCCAGUCCUGUCUUGGUGUGUGUAAAUGCAUAUAUGGGCGUCUU
Molecule: long non-coding RNA, 312 nt
Organism: Herpailurus yagouaroundi (jaguarundi)
Lineage: Eukaryota; Metazoa; Chordata; Mammalia; Carnivora; Felidae
Exons: 3
Source: RefSeq, a predicted model, not a curated record